This 428-nucleotide ribosomal RNA is filed under the name uncultured Acidobacterium sp. RNAcentral's name for it is "bacterial SSU rRNA". It matches the Rfam family "Bacterial small subunit ribosomal RNA", at positions 958 to 1385 of the family's 1533-position model. The record is from RNAcentral. Lineage: Bacteria; Pseudomonadati; Acidobacteriota; Terriglobia; Terriglobales; Acidobacteriaceae.
AACGCGAAGAACCUUACCUGGGCUCGAACGGCUUAAGAUCGACGGUGGAAACACUGUUUUCCCGCAAGGGACUUGAGUCGAGGUGCUGCAUGGCUGUCGUCAGCUCGUGUCGUGAGAUGUUGGGUUAAGUCCCGCAACGAGCGCAACCCUUGUCCUGUGUUGCCACUCCGUAAGGAAGCACUCGCAGGAGACCGCCAGCGAUAAGUUGGAGGAAGGUGGGGAUGAUGUCAAGUCAUCAUGGCCUUUAUGUCCAGGGCUACACACGUGCUACAAUGGACGGUACAAAGCGCUGCCAACCCGCGAGGGGGAGCUAAUCGCAAAAAACCGUUCUCAGUUCGGAUUGCAGGCUGCAACUCGCCUGCAUGAAGCUGGAAUCGCUAGUAAUGCCGUAUCAGAACGAUGGCGUGAAUACGUUCCCGGGCCUUGUA